This 30-nucleotide non-coding RNA is filed under the name Mus musculus (house mouse). Lineage: Eukaryota; Metazoa; Chordata; Mammalia; Rodentia; Muridae. The record is from RNAcentral.
UAUCAAUGGAAGGUGUAGCUCUUUUCUCUC